Long non-coding RNA from Equus asinus (donkey), 4897 nucleotides. Lineage: Eukaryota; Metazoa; Chordata; Mammalia; Perissodactyla; Equidae. The record is from Ensembl.
GGGGGCGUGGCUCGGGCUCAAGGAGGCAUUCCCGGGCGCUCAGGUGAGCGCUCUCUGGAUCUGACAGUCCUUGGGGAGCCGAUGCCGGUGACCGGGCCGCGGGCAGACACGCAGGCGCCCGGAAGACACAGCAGGGCUGCAGCUGCCCAGCCCUCCCAGCCAUGUGGCGCCCGCUGGUCCUGCCGCCCCUGCUGCUGCUGCUCCCCUGCGCACCCGCCCCCACUGCCAGUCUCAUCCAGGCCGCCAAACCCCAGGACGGCCUGCAGAGCCUACUCCCAGGUUGCAAUCGCCUCUUGUUGGGGUUUGGGGAGAGGAGGAGGAGAGAGAGGAGGGGCGGGGGCAGACAGCAAGAGAGGAAGUCAGAGAGACAGACAGGGAUAUAGGGAGGGGCCCGAGGAACCCAGACAGAGGUACAGCAGGACAGACGAGGGGCAGGAAUAAGGAGAUGGUGGAUGGAAUAGGGACAGGGCAGAGGGAUAGGGACCCAGAUAAGAACAGGGGACAAGAUUGGGGGGUGGACUGGCUCGGUCCUGAGGGUCAGAGCAUCGUGGAAGAGGGUGGAGAGGAAAGGGGGUGGGAGGGACAUGGGGCCCGGCCCGAAGAGGCAUCCAACACUCAGACCACUUUCUGCGAGCCCUCGUGGCACCUGCUGUGGGACAGGGACAGCUGCCUCUCUGCCCCGUGGACCUCAGUGCCUCCCCAGGACUGCCACUGCGCAGAGGACCAGGAGUGCUGGCUGGAGAACAGCACCCCUUCUAGCCAGCACCAGGAAGCCCGUCGCGGAGCCCAACUUGUUCCUCUUCACCAGGUGCCCAAGCUGGAGGAGACGCAGAGCUGGUGGCACUGGCAAAUCCGGCCUCUCACUCUGGCGGUCCUCCCAGGUCGUGAGGUGACUGCCCUGGCGGUGCAGCCAGCAGCCUGGGAGGCAGGCCUGCAGCUCCUUCAGAAGCAUCCAUGGCCACCAGCCUUCUGCGACAGUCUCCUUAAGGGGGCCCUCCUGGCACGGGGACCUGAGGCCUCCCCCGCCCCAAAGGGCCCGCCCCAAGACCCACUUGUUGUCCCUUUCCAGGCUCAGCAGCCGCAGGGGCUGGGGGUGGACAUCAGAGCCCUGGCAGGGGACAGACGUGCACCCUCCCCAGACCCCACCCCAGCGCCACUGAGAAAUCAAGUUCUUUCUCUCAGCCAUCUGUGCUGCUUCCUCUCGGGACCUGUCCCCAGCACCCGGCCGACUGAAACGAUUUCUUUGCUUUUACAAGCUCCUGAGGCAGGAACCGGUCCUGCUUCCUGCUGUGUUGCCUGAUGCUUACCAGAGAGCGUGGCUCACGCUUAGUUCUCAAAAACAGCUCGUUGUCGAGAAUUGAGUUGAGUUGAGUCCACGGCUGACUGGAGGGACGCCCUCUCUGACGCCCCAGCGCCAGGCUUCCGCGUCAGUAUUUCCUAAAACGGUGAUCACGUGAGACUGUUUAAAGAUGCUACAGUCCUGUCAUCCUAAUGCUGAAAAUUGAAGAUAGCACACACAUGGAUGGGUGAGUGAAAAUAAGUGGGUCAUUCACAAAGGAGGACACUCACCUCUAUUCGGAGGCAAAGAAGCACUAUUUGUUAUUUUGAGGCUAAAGCGAUGACAUGUUCCCCUUGGGCUCUGUCCUGAGUUCUGGGGUCCAUUGGACACCAGGCCGUGGGUAUGUCUGGGUCCUGUGGCAGCACAGCCAUGCCAGCUCUGCUCCAGCCUGUGAGGGUCCUGGCCAUUAUUGCCUGGAUAGGUCCCCACUUGAUCCAAGCUGAGCAGGUGGCCCAGGGUGACAUCUGCCUUCAGCUGGCUGGGUGGUGGAGCAAGGUGGAUGUGAAGGCAUCAGAAAAAGUGGCAGGGGGUUGAGCUGGAGGCCAGAGAGGGCAGGACCGUGCAGAGCAGGGCUGGCAUAAGAAGGUGACAUGGGUGGGUGUGACUGUUGACGAUGAGCUGGGCUCAGGCAAGCGUGGGGGUGGGGCCUGGGGUAAGCGUGCCUCACGGAGAUGUCAGGCCCAGGAAAUGGGGCCCCGAUAGGGCAGCAGAGCCUGUAGGAGGGGUGAUGGUUGUCCUGCCUCUGGCUUCAAGCUGCAGAGUCACUCAGGUUGUUUCCAGGACCCCAGGCUGAUGGAACCAUCCAAUCAAAUGGCAGCUACUUCUGCCAACAGGUGAACCCCUCCAGUAUCAGCAGGGCCUGGUCUGGGGACCCUCUAUAGCCUUGGGGCACAUGCCCCAGACCUCCAAAUAAUCGGGUCCAGCUCUUGGUCCAUUCUCUGUGCCAGGGCUUGGCUCAUGCUGCUCCAUGGCCUGCCCUGCUCAUCUCUGUCCUCUCCUCAGUCCAUCAGGAAUGGAGAAAAGUGAGACAUCAUUACAGAGCCUAUAAGAAGCUGUUCCAAACAUUCUAUACCAAUACAUUUGAAAAUCGGGAUAAAAUGGGCAACUUUCUAGAAAACACUCACUGAAACCGAGACAAGAAAUUGAAUCUGUAGUUUAAAAUCUUCCCACCAACAAAUCUACAGGCUCAGAUGACCUCAUUAGUAAAUCUAGGAAAAUAUUAACGGCAAUCUUACAUAAACUCCAGAGAAUGGAAAACUUGUGUUAGGAAACCAGAAUAGGCUUGUUGCAAAACCCAAAAAGUAAAUUUUGAGACAGGAAAAGUUUCGGUCCAGUAUCUUUCAUAAACGUAGGUGCCAAGAUCUUAAGAUGUUAGCAAAAUGAAUCACCACGAGAAGGCAGGGAAUUGUGGGAAUGAUGACUGACUUAGGUAGAAACGCUCAGCCAUAGGUUGCCGGCCACACAGCUUUUCUGGUGAGCCACACAAUAGGAUCCUGUAACUGAAGACAGAAAUAAGAUUUCACGUGUGUGGAACUUCAGUGCUGGACUAGUUUUCUUCAGGGGAAAAUGAGACUCAGAUGAAAUGUUAAUUUUGCAGAGAGUAAGGAAGAAACCUAUCCUGGACAGAUGUUCCUUUCUUCUAGUCUGGUUUUGAUCUGCUGCAAGACUCUGAUUUGCUGACAAAGGCAUCUCAAAAGGUUCAUUCACGGUGGAGCCACCACUCCUGAGGACCUCACCCAGAAUGGAGCUCGCCUGGGGGAAAAAUCCACAAGCCACCCCUACAGAGGCCAGAGCACGGGGGCCUGUGUCCAGAGGGAGAAGCAGGUCGCUAGUGUCAGAUGCUAAUGGAUGACUGACUUACAAUCCUUUCUGCCCAGAUGACGGGUUCUAGCCUUUAUGGUUGCAAAGAAACCUGCGUAGGCUCUUACUGCCGUGUGUGCAUGCUCAAGAGGAAGGGGGAGCAGGUUUGGGGUUCACUCAGGAGGAGGGAAACUGCUUUCCGUAAGGACGAGUGUGGUCCCCGAAGGUGGUAAAGCCAGCAGGGCACUGGGGCAGUGGUGUGACGGUGAGCACCAACAACCGGCUCUCUGAGUGAACACAAAGCCCUCAAUGAUAGCAUUUGCCAGUUUCUAUGGUGUCAAUAAGCCUGCUCUGGUCCAUCUAAAGCUACCAAUGUGAUGUGAACCGGCUCACAAAAUCCUUGAAAAGUCAAGAACUGGCUCUCAGGAGCCAGUAGGAGCCACACCUCCAGCCCUCCAUCUUCACAGACGGUGCCGUCUUCUGCUUCUCAUCUCCUCAGACCGUUUGGAACCGACAUCAUCCAGGCCUUCCUGCAAAGACCUGGGGCAGGCGGGAAAGGACGCUGCAGCCACGGCCAGUGGGUGGAAGGGCUGUUCUGGUGAGAAAAAGCUGACAGGCCUGACGUCUGAAGUUCUGCAGAAGGCAGAUAAAGGACAGAAUCAUAAUUUCACAAUCAUCUGCCUUGAGUCUUAGAAGGCACACUUUAGAGCAGUAAUCGCGAGAGAUCCUGAUGCAGGUCAUUGUGGGUCAAGGCUUCUGUGGAAGGAAAUUGGCGCAGCUGGUCUGGUCUCCUGAAGCUUCUCAUAGAUUUCAGAAAAGGGUCCCCGGGGGUCUGGUCUCCCCUUGAGCAAGUCACUUGGAAUGGAGGGGACUCAUCGCUCUUCAGACCCACUGGAAGGCGGGGGGUUCCCUCUUCCCCAUACUCCUUCGAGGCCACCCUCUGUGGGGCUGAGGUCACCGUAACAGAACAGAGCUCUUCAGAUCUCUUCCACUCCUCAGAAAAGACCACUCCCCGUGGCCCUGACCCCACUGGUGCACACAGUCAAUGCCUUUUAGGUCACUGGCAUGCAGCUCUUCAACGGAGUUGUGGCAACAUCUCUCUGUGGUUUUUUUCACUAAAGUGUUACUGUUUGCUAUACAUCAGUUUCCGUUGACCAUAUUUGGGAUGCAUGAUGCCCAGUUACCUGAAAAUGAGGUGCCAGGGAUCCGAUUAUUUACAAAAGUGGCCUUCCCCACUGGGAAAUAAAUUGGGAUCUGGAAAAAUCUUAGGCCGUGGGCAACACUUGUCUCCCACACCUCACGUUUCCCGGAAAGGGAUUUUGAUAACUUCCAGGAAGUAUGGACUGCCUUCCCACGCCCUCCGCCCUUUGCUCACCUGGCCACACAGUGCUGCUGAGCUCACAGAAGGCACUGAGUACUCCAGGCAGACCCCACCCAGUCUCCCCGAGGGGCAGCCGGUCCUCAGGUCCUUCUCCCUUCCCUCACAGAAGACCCCUGGCUGGCAGGCACACGUGGGCAGCCCAUGUGGUCCCAGCUCCAGGUGGUGCCUCCCAUUCAGUAUUCGUCGUAAUGAAGCUGGUAUUGUCACUUCCACAUGUCUGACUCCUGUGUGUGUGUCUCUGGAUCGCAAACUCAGCACGGGAAGAGAAAGGUGUUGACUGCCUUCCACGGGCCCCCAGAUGUGCGUUGUUAUGGACACUGGCUGCAUACGUGAGUGUCUGCGUCAGCUUCAACAUCUUUGCUCUGCUCCAUCCUCCG